This 400-nucleotide ribosomal RNA is filed under the name uncultured bacterium. RNAcentral's name for it is "bacterial SSU rRNA". It matches the Rfam family "Bacterial small subunit ribosomal RNA", at positions 355 to 747 of the family's 1533-position model. The record is from RNAcentral.
UCGAGGAUCAUUCGCAAUGGGGGAAACCCUGACGAUGCGACGCUGCGUGGAGGAUGAAGGCCCUCGGGUUGUAAACUCCUGUCAUGAGGGAAGAGGGAAGCCCUUCUAACACAAGGGCGACUUGACGGUACCUCAAGAGGAAGCCACGGCUAACUCUGUGCCAGCAGCCGCGGUAAUACAGAGGUGGCGAGCGUUGUUCGGAUUUACUGGGCGUAAAGGGCGCGUAGGCGGCCGCGUGUGUGGGGUGUGAAAUCUCCGGGCUCAACCCGGAAAGUGCGCCCCAAACUGCGCGGCUGGAGUGCGGGAGGGGAUGUCGGAAUGCAGGGUGUAGCGGUGAAAUGCGUUGAUAUCCUGCAGAACACCGGUGGCGAAGGCGGACAUCUGGAACGCAACUGACGCU